RNAcentral lists this ribosomal RNA (1336 nucleotides) under Culex sitiens. RNAcentral describes it as "large subunit ribosomal RNA". The stretch from base 892 to 1253 matches the Rfam family "Bacterial large subunit ribosomal RNA", at positions 2075 to 2645 of the family's 2925-position model. The record is from RNAcentral. Lineage: Eukaryota; Metazoa; Arthropoda; Insecta; Diptera; Culicidae.
UUAAAUUUUAUUUAUUAAUUUUAUUUAUUUAAUUUAAUUUAUUUAAUAAAAAUAAUUUUAAAAUUUUAAGUUUAAGUAUUUUAUAAAGAAAAAAUAAUUUUAAUUAUAGUUAAUUUGUAUUGUAAAAGAAAAUUGAAAUAAUUUGAAAAAUUUUUAUUUUUAAAGAAAAUUUAAUUUAUUGUACCUUGUGUAUCAGGGUUUAUUAAAUAAAAAAUUAUUAUAUUAAUUUUUCUCGAAUUUUAAAGAUUUAAUUAUAUAUAAAAGUUACUGUGGAAUAAUUAUUUUUAAUAUAUAAUUAGAAAUGAAAUGUUAAUCGUUUUAAAAUAUAUCUAGUUUUUUAAGAAAUAAAUUUAAUUUAGAUUUAUAAAUUUAAAUUAUUUAAUUGUAAAAAUAAUUUAUUUUAUAAAAUUAAUAUUUUAAGGGAUUAGCUUUAAAAUAAAUUUUUAAAUUUUAAAUUAAUUAUUUAAUAAAUAUAAGCUUAAAAAUAGCUAUUAUUAAUAAAUUUGUUAUAAUUUAUUUUAAAAAUUUAAUUAUUUAAUAUAAAAUUAAAUUAUUUAUUAAAAUAUAAAUUUUAAUAAUAAAAAUUUAUAAAUUAUGAUAAAAUUAGUAUAUAAAAUUUUUAUAAAUAAUUAUUUAUAAAAGGUUUAAAUAAGGAAUUCGGCAAAAUAUAUAUUCACCUGUUUAUCAAAAACAUGUCUUUUUGAAUUAAAUUUAAAGUCUAACCUGCCCACUGAUAUAAAUUAAAGGGCCGCAGUAUUUUGACUGUGCGAAGGUAGCAUAAUCAUUAGUCUUUUAAUUGGAGGCUUGUAUGAAUGGUUGAAUGAGAUAUAUACUGUCUUUUUUAAAAUUAUAUAGAAUUUUAUUUUUUAGUUAAAAAGCUAAAAUAAAAUUAAAGGACGAGAAGACCCUAUAGAUCUUUAUUUUUGUUAUUUAUAAAUUAAAAAGAAUUUUAAAAUUUAUAAUUUAAUAAAAAAUUUUAUUGGGGUGAUAUUAAAAUUUAAAAAACUUUUAAGAUUUAUUAACAUAAAUAUAUGAAUAAAUGAUCCAGUUUUAUUGAUUAAAAAAUUAAGUUACCUUAGGGAUAACAGCGUAAUUUUUUUUUAGAGUUCAUAUCGACAAAAAAGAUUGCGACCUCGAUGUUGGAUUAAGAGUUAUUUUUAGGUGUAGAAGUUUAAAGUUUAGGUCUGUUCGACCUUUGAAUUCUUACAUGAUCUGAGUUCAAACCGGCGUAAGCCAGGUUGGUUUCUAUCCUUAAUUAAUUAUUAUAUUAUAGUACGAAAGGACCUAAUAUAAAAAAUAUAAAUUUUAAUAAUAUGAUUAAUAUUAAUAUUAGAUA